RNAcentral lists this ribosomal RNA (253 nucleotides) under uncultured bacterium. RNAcentral's name for it is "partial 16S ribosomal RNA". It matches the Rfam family "Bacterial small subunit ribosomal RNA", at positions 524 to 776 of the family's 1533-position model. The record is from RNAcentral.
UACAGGGGGUGCAAACGUUGCUCGGAAUUAUUGGGCGUAAAGCGCGCGUAGGCGGCUACUUAAGUCGGAUGUGAAAGCCCUUGGCUCAACUGAGGAAGUGCACCCGAAACUGAGUGGCUUGAGUACUAAAGAGGGUCGCGGAAUUCCCGGUGUAGAGGUGAAAUUCGUAGAUAUCGGGAGGAACACCGGUGGCGAAGGCGGCGACCUGGGUAGAUACUGACGCUGAGGCGCGAAAGCGUGGGGAGCGAACCGG